AAAGGAUUUGGCUAUAAGGUUCCUCCUUUCACAGAAUUACUCCAGGGUUCAUGUGCCAGGGUGGGGAUUUUACACGCCAUAAUGGCACUGGUGGCAGGUCCAUCUACAGAGAGAAAUUUGAGGAUAAGAACUUCAUCCUGGAGCAUAUAGGUCCUGGCAUCUUGUCCAUGGCAAAUGCUGGACCAAACACAAAUGGUUCCCAGUUUUUUAUCUGCACUGCCAAGACUGAAUGGCUGGAUGGCAAGCAAGUGGUCUUUGGGAAGGUAAAAGAAGCCAUGAACAUUAUGGAAGCCAUGGAGCGUUUUGGGUCCAAGAAGGCAAGACCAGCAAGAAGAUCACCAUUUCUGACUGUGGACAACUCUAA
Molecule: long non-coding RNA, 364 nt
Filed under: Mus musculus (house mouse)
Lineage: Eukaryota; Metazoa; Chordata; Mammalia; Rodentia; Muridae
Description: long non-coding RNA chr5:124472426-124472790
Source: RNAcentral